UUUUCGGCAAUGGGGGGAACCCUGACCGAGCAACGCCGCGUGAGCGAUGAAGGCCUUCGGGUCGUAAAGCUCUGUCCUCAAGGAAGAUAAUGAUGGUACUUGAGGAGGAAGCCCCGGCUAACUACGUGCCAGCAGCCGCGGUAAUACGUAGGGGGCUAGCGUUAUCCGGAAUUACUGGGCGUAAAGGGUGCGUAGGUGGUUUCUUAAGUCAGAGGUGAAAGGCUACGGCUCAACCGUAGUAAGCCUUUGAAACUGGGGAACUUGAGUGCAGGAGAGGAGAGUGGAAUUCCUAGUGUAGCGGUGAAAUGCGUAGAUAUUAGGAGGAACACCAGUUGCGAAGGCGGCUCUCUGGACUGUAACUGACACUGAGGCACGAAAGCGUGGGGAGCAAACA
This 394-nucleotide ribosomal RNA is filed under the name uncultured bacterium. Its description in RNAcentral is "bacterial SSU rRNA". It matches the Rfam family "Bacterial small subunit ribosomal RNA", at positions 362 to 774 of the family's 1533-position model. The record is from RNAcentral.